CAUGCUCAGGACGAACGCUGGCGGCGUGCCUAAUACAUGCAAGUCGAGCGGACAGAAGGGAGCUUGCUCCCGGAUGUUAGCGGCGGACGGGUGAGUAACACGUGGGUAACCUGCCUGUAAGACUGGGAUAACUCCGGGAAACCGGAGCUAAUACCGGAUAGUUCCUUGAACCGCAUGGUUCAAGGAUGAAAGACGGUUUCGGCUGUCACUUACAGAUGGACCCGCGGCGCAUUAGCUAGUUGGUGGGGUAAUGGCUCACCAAGGCGACGAUGCGUAGCCGACCUGAGAGGGUGAUCGGCCACACUGGGACUGAGACACGGCCCAGACUCCUACGGGAGGCAGCAGUAGGGAAUCUUCCGCAAUGGACGAAAGUCUGACGGAGCAACGCCGCGUGAGUGAUGAAGGUUUUCGGAUCGUAAAGCUCUGUUGUUAGGGAAGAACAAGUGCGAGAGUAACUGCUCGCACCUUGACGGUACCUAACCAGAAAGCCACGGCUAACUACGUGCCAGCAGCCGCGGUAAUACGUAGGUGGCAAGCGUUGUCCGGAAUUAUUGGGCGUAAAGGGCUCGCAGGCGGUUUCUUAAGUCUGAUGUGAAAGCCCCCGGCUCAACCGGGGAGGGUCAUUGGAAACUGGGAAACUUGAGUGCAGAAGAGGAGAGUGGAAUUCCACGUGUAGCGGUGAAAUGCGUAGAGAUGUGGAGGAACACCAGUGGCGAAGGCGACUCUCUGGUCUGUAACUGACGCUGAGGAGCGAAAGCGUGGGGAGCGAACAGGAUUAGAUACCCUGGUAGUCCACGCCGUAAACGAUGAGUGCUAAGUGUUAGGGGGUUUCCGCCCCUUAGUGCUGCAGCUAACGCAUUAAGCACUCCGCCUGGGGAGUACGGUCGCAAGACUGAAACUCAAAGGAAUUGACGGGGGCCCGCACAAGCGGUGGAGCAUGUGGUUUAAUUCGAAGCAACGCGAAGAACCUUACCAGGUCUUGACAUCCUCUGACAACCCUAGAGAUAGGGCUUUCCCUUCGGGGACAGAGUGACAGGUGGUGCAUGGUUGUCGUCAGCUCGUGUCGUGAGAUGUUGGGUUAAGUCCCGCAACGAGCGCAACCCUUGAUCUUAGUUGCCAGCAUUCAGUUGGGCACUCUAAGGUGACUGCCGGUGACAAACCGGAGGAAGGUGGGGAUGACGUCAAAUCAUCAUGCCCCUUAUGACCUGGGCUACACACGUGCUACAAUGGACAGAACAAAGGGCUGCAAGACCGCAAGGUUUAGCCAAUCCCAUAAAUCUGUUCUCAGUUCGGAUCGCAGUCUGCAACUCGACUGCGUGAAGCUGGAAUCGCUAGUAAUCGCGGAUCAGCAUGCCGCGGUUGAAUACGUUCCCGGGCCUUGUACACACCGCCCGUCACACCACGAGAGUUUGCACACCCGAAGUC
Molecule: ribosomal RNA, 1425 nt
Filed under: Bacillus pumilus
Lineage: Bacteria; Bacillati; Bacillota; Bacilli; Caryophanales; Bacillaceae
Description: bacterial SSU rRNA
Rfam family: Bacterial small subunit ribosomal RNA
Source: RNAcentral